GUUCAUUCGGAUCUAUAUAAAAAGCCACAACCAUCACUUUUUCACAUAUUCUCUCUAAACCCUAACCGACAACUUCAUCUCCUACAUCGGAUCCAUCAUGUAUUCAUCUUCUUCAUUCGUCCUGUAAAUCAAACAAUCCUUAUUUUUCCUUAAUCCUCUGCAUUCCUUCGGAUCAACAAUCAGGUAUAUUUGUAGCGAUUCAUCAUCUACUACAAUUCAAGAAGCUCGUGGCUUAGAUGACAAGAUUUAUGACUGCAAUCACCAUCUUGGCAAUCAAGAACGGUUGGGUACUUUUGAAGAUCAUGAACCAUUAAGGGGAAACAAGCACCUCCACCAUGAAAAUUGGGUCAUCAGUGUUCGAUAAUGGUGAUGACAUGUCACGCUUAUGCUGGAUUGUUGGCAACAGAUGGAGCAGAUCGCAAAGUACAUGUAUGGGAUGUUGACGAUCGUUUUUGUACACGUUCCUUUACGGGUAACAAGGGGUUAUGACAAUAGAGAUUAGGAUCAACUGGGACCUUCAAUCAAUUGGUAGGGUGUUCUCACAAAUUGCUACUGCACAGAGUGAGGUACACCUGGAUAUCUAAAAUCCACCAUAAUGAAUGGGAUGUCCUUUGUGGACAAUUGGGCCUUUGUUUGAAUGUUGCAGCUGAUUGACAAAGGUGUAUAAUGUUGCAGCUGAUUAACCUUAUCCGUCUUUGUCAUGGCUGGUGAACUAAAGAGGGAGUGUUUUAAAGUCUCUAAGGUAAUAAAGAAUCUAUCUUUCAUCCAAAAGCUAAAUCGAUGUUACAUCAGAAUUUUGCUCUAUAUUUCAUUUGAAUUCAUUAUACUACUUAUGAUAUUUGCCAAAAAAAAAAUUAUGCAAUCUUCAUAACUGCUUUGUUGGAAUGCAAUGGAAUGGGUCAAGAAAAAAAAUACUCCAGUGCAGAAGAUAGAUAAUGAGAAAAAAGAGAAAUGGAAAAGGGAGAAAGAAGUGAAGGGGGUGGUGGCCUGAGGGUCACCACCGUCACACCACCAGCACACCACCAGCAUGGUCACCAUCUCGACCGUUUCCCAUGCAAGCAAAAGAAAGAAGGGAUGGUGACUAUUAAUCUAUGAAAUCGACGGUGUUUAACAGCGGCGAGGGAUUCGAUUUGUCGUGGACUACCAAGAAUAACCGCGAUAAUUGACGAAUGAGGGUUCCGGAAGUUGUGAUGGCCGACCGACAUGAUAGUGGAGGUGAGACUUAUGCCUUUUUCUAAGGUUCAAAUGAUGGCGUGAUGGUUGAUUAGUCGUGGUGCACGCUUUCCAUAUCUGGAUCGAUUUAUAUUGAAUUUCCUCACGGAGCUUGACAGGAUUUAGUAAUUGCAUCGAAAACUGUCGCUUUUGCCGAUAGACCAUUUGGUUCAGAUUCAUGAGGUGUUAAAUGCCAUUUAAGAAAAAUAAAGUGCGUUAAUUCGAGGGAAGGCGGCUUCAAAGCAAUCCAAACCACCUCAAGUGAUGAAAAAAACUGCCAAAGUUUUGAACAACUUUGACGUGUCGACUGAGGUUAUUCCUUAACUUUUUUUGGUAGAGCUUGCAAAACCUCAAGUGAUAAUGUUUCAAAGGAUUAGCGGAUAAGUCAUAUUCAAAGAAUAAAGUUCAGGGAAGGCGGCUUCAAAGCAAUCCAAACCACCUCAAUUGAUGAUGUUUUAAAGGAUUAGCGGAUAAGUCAUAUCUCAAAGAAGAAAGUUCAGAUGAGGACUUCAGUUUUUUUUCGUUCUAAAAACAUGUUUCUUUUGUCAUUUCUGUUAAUUCAUAAUAUUAUCAUAAUGCCUUCAUCUUUUUGACACAGUGGCUCUACGUGCUUGGAUCAUAAUGGGUUCUGAUUCAGAUCUUCCAGUGAUGAAAGAAACUGCCAAAGUUUUGAACGACUUUGACAUGUCGACUAAGGUAAAUCGCGUAAUUCGGUGAAUUUAAAGUGCUUAAAGAUGAUGUGGAACGGCCGUGGAUGAUAAACAUAGCGAAAGGUGUUAGUCGGAAGAUGCUUCGGGUUAGAAAAUAUCUUGGAAUCGAGAUGAAACGAGAAGGAAUGAGGCAUAGGGACCAUUCAGUCAUUUAUUGAAAGUUGCCACAUAGCUAUGUAUGGAGUUCACAUGCACAACGUAAGCUACUCUGUAGAUCCGUAGGCUACGGAUUGGAAUGUCUGACAUCAACAGAAACAGCGAACUGUAGCUUACGGUUUAAAACGUAAGUUACAUGUAUGUAUGGCGGUGUAUCUUUUAUUGUUGAAGGGCAUUAAAAGAAAAGGAUUUAAAAAGAAAAACCCUAAAGUGGAUGCAUAACAGUGGGUGAUUGGAGGGAUUAUUAAUUUGAGAACUCACAACAUUAUCAUCAAUCACGUGGGUGGAGAAAAUAUUGAACUAGAGGGGUUUUUGGCGGCAUUUAUUGAAUGUUCAUUAUCAUCACAAGAUUAAAUUGGGUGAGAAGGAGAGAGGCAGGCAUCACGUGGAGCAUCAUAGGCUUUGGAGAUUUUUAAUCAACAUCAAUCAUCCAUCAUCAGCACACAUCACAUCUCGAUGAUCAUUAAAAAGGCAUCACAUAAGUUGACAAUUGAGAAAAGGCAUCAUGUGCACAAGGCAUCAGUUUUUAAUAAAAAUCAUCCACUAACUUGAGACAUUGGACUACGUGUGACGGCAAGGAGAAGCCCAAGAAACACUUGGGCCGCACAUGGGACUUCUUUUGUAUGCAUGGAGCCGUCCAAGACAUCACGUCACGUGGACUUCUAUUUGGGCCACGUAAGUGGGCCGACAUAUUGGAGUGUUUUUGGGCUGCGAACAUGAAUAUUGAGGAGAGGUACAAAAGUCAAAAGAGAGGAUAAUCUCGGGGAUCUUCGACGGCAGACGGCAGUUAAAGGGUUUUUCAACCCGGUAUCAAGCGAGUGAAGAUCAAUCAACCGAGAUGAGCUGCUAAAUCUCUCGUGGACACUUCGGGUGAAUGAUUCUUGUGAGACACUUUUAAUUCUAGUUUCUGUUUGUAUUGAGAUUUGGAUUUGUAGUCGGGUGACAGCCGACUAUUUACAUAAUUAUAUUAUUUGUGUG
This 3056-nucleotide long non-coding RNA is filed under the name Helianthus annuus (common sunflower). Lineage: Eukaryota; Viridiplantae; Streptophyta; Magnoliopsida; Asterales; Asteraceae. The record is from RNAcentral.